AUUGAACGCUGGCGGCAGGCCUAACACAUGCAAGUCGAGCGGUAGCACAGGGAGCUUGCUCCUGGGUGACGAGCGGCGGACGGGUGAGUAAUGUCUGGGAAACUGCCUGAUGGAGGGGGAUAACUACUGGAAACGGUAGCUAAUACCGCAUAACGUCGCAAGACCAAAGAGGGGGACCUUCGGGCCUCUUGCCAUCAGAUGUGCCCAGAGGGGAUUAGCUAGUAGGUGGGGUAAUGGCUCACCUAGGCGACGAUCCCUAGCUGGUCUGAGAGGAUGACCAGCCACACUGGAACUGAGACACGGUCCAGACUCCUACGGGAGGCAGCAGUGGGGAAUAUUGCACAAUGGGCGCAAGCCUGAUGCAGCCAUGCCGCGUGUAUGAAGAAGGCCUUCGGGUUGUAAAGUACUUUCAGCGGGGAGGAAGGUGUUGAGGUUAAUAACCUCAGCAAUUGACGUUACCCGCAGAAGAAGCACCGGCUAACUCCGUGCCAGCAGCCGCCGCAG
This 504-nucleotide ribosomal RNA is filed under the name uncultured bacterium. RNAcentral describes it as "partial 16S ribosomal RNA". It matches the Rfam family "Bacterial small subunit ribosomal RNA", at positions 30 to 523 of the family's 1533-position model. The record is from RNAcentral.